UACGAAGGGGGCUAGCGUUGCUCGGAAUCACUGGGCGUAAAGCGCGCGUAGGCGGUUACUUAAGUCGGAUGUGAAAGCCCUCGGCUUAACUGAGGAAGUGCACCCGAAACUGAGUAGCUAGAGUACGAAAGAGGGUCGCGGAAUUCCCGGUGUAGAGGUGAAAUUCGUAGAUAUCGGGAGGAACACCGGUGGCGAAGGCGGCGACCUGGGUCGAGACUGACGCUGAGGCGCGAAAGCGUGGGGAGCAAACAGG
This 253-nucleotide ribosomal RNA is filed under the name uncultured bacterium. RNAcentral describes it as "partial 16S ribosomal RNA". It matches the Rfam family "Bacterial small subunit ribosomal RNA", at positions 524 to 776 of the family's 1533-position model. The record is from RNAcentral.